CUACGUGCCAGCAGCCGCGGUAAUACGUAGGGGGCAAGCGUUAUCCGGAUUCAUUGGGCGUAAAGCGCUCGUAGGCGGUCUGUUAGGUCGGGAGUUAAAUCCGGGGGCUCAACCCCCGUUCGCUCCCGAUACCGGCAGACUUGAGUUUGGUAGGGGAAGGUGGAAUUCCUAGUGUAGCGGUGGAAUGCGCAGAUAUUAGGAAGAACACCAGUGGCGAAGGCGGCCUUCUGGGCCAUAACUGACGCUGAGGAGCGAAAGCUAGGGGAGCAAACAGGAUUAGAUACCCUGGUAGUCCUAGCCGUAAACGAUGGACACUAGGUGUGGGGGAAUAUUUCUUCCGUGCCGCAGCUAACGCAUUAAGUGUCCCGCCUGGGGAGUACGGCCGCAAGGCUAAAACUCAAAGGAAUUGACGGGGGCCCGCACAAGCAGCGGAGCAUGUGGUUUAAUUCGAAGCAACGCGAAGAACCUUACCAGGGCU
RNAcentral lists this ribosomal RNA (478 nucleotides) under uncultured bacterium. Its description in RNAcentral is "bacterial SSU rRNA". It matches the Rfam family "Bacterial small subunit ribosomal RNA", at positions 501 to 981 of the family's 1533-position model. The record is from RNAcentral.